Molecule: ribosomal RNA, 253 nt
Filed under: uncultured bacterium
Lineage: Bacteria
Description: partial 16S ribosomal RNA
Rfam family: Bacterial small subunit ribosomal RNA
Source: RNAcentral
UACGGCGGGGGCUAGCGUUGUUCGGAAUUACUGGGCGUAAAGCGCACGUAGGCGGCUUUGCAAGUUAGAGGUGAAAGCCCCGGGCUCAACCUGGGAACUGCAUUUGAGACUGCUCUGCUCGGGUGCGGAAGAGGGAAGCGGAAUUUCCGGUGUAGCGGUGAAAUGCGUAGAUAUCGGAAGGAACACCAGUGGCGAAAGCGGCUUCCUGGUCCGACACCGACGUUCAGGCACGAAAGCGUGGGGAGCAAACAGG